Zea mays is the source of this 643-nucleotide long non-coding RNA. RefSeq lists it as uncharacterized. The record is from RefSeq and is a predicted model, not a curated record. Lineage: Eukaryota; Viridiplantae; Streptophyta; Magnoliopsida; Poales; Poaceae. The transcript is spliced from 3 exons.
GAGCGGUGGUGCUAUGGCUGGUGUGAUCCAUGGGCAAGCACAACACGGAGAUCCUAUGUUUCAGGAGUUUGCGGGCCGAUUACUGCGCUGGGUGUGCUCGUCGUUGUUUGAGAUGGUCAGGAGCUGGGUGCUAGAAGGGGAAUUGGAGGAUGUAUUUGCAGAGUUUUUUAUCGUUGGGAAGCCAGUGAAUUACCAGCCAGAACGAAGGUGAUGAGAUGGCGUCAAAGGUAGCUUUUGAUCACCCAGAACGAUUCUCCAAAAAGUUCGAGUUCAGUGCAGACAACAUUGAGCCCCUGGUUCAGACAUGCAUGACAACUCUAUCCUCAAAGAGAGCUGAAGAAGGGGCAUCUGUUUGAAGGAUGGACUGAAGGGGUCAUCAACUUUUGGGUGCUAUUAAAGUGUCCAUAUACCAAACAUAGUUUUGCUUUAUAUGUUGUCACCUGACCUAUGGAGAAAAGGAAGGAGAUGAACUAAAAAGGAAUGCUGAUGUUCAAGAAAUCCACCGAAGGACAAUAUUUAAUCCAGUUUCGAGAGUCAACAUGCCUAAAACGAUAUAUGAUCAUGAAAGGAAUGUAUGGCUAGGUGAUCUCAACUAUAGGAUCAACUUACCAUAUGAGAAGACACACGAACUCAUAUCCAAGCA